Molecule: non-coding RNA, 109 nt
Organism: Acanthosepion pharaonis
Lineage: Eukaryota; Metazoa; Mollusca; Cephalopoda; Sepiida; Sepiidae
Source: the annotation of a GenBank genome assembly
UUACGACCACACCACGUUGAAAACACCGGUUCCGUAGGAGCACCGAAGUUAAGCAACAUCAAGCCAGGUCAGUGCCUAGAUGGAUGACCGCCUGAGAAAACCAGGUACU